RNAcentral lists this ribosomal RNA (478 nucleotides) under uncultured bacterium. Its description in RNAcentral is "partial 16S ribosomal RNA". It matches the Rfam family "Bacterial small subunit ribosomal RNA", at positions 28 to 507 of the family's 1533-position model. The record is from RNAcentral.
GAUGAACGCUGGCGGCGUGCUUAACACAUGCAAGUCGAACGGGAAACCUUUUAUUGAAGCUUCGGCAGAUUUAGCUGGUUUCUAGUGGCGGACGGGUGAGUAACGCGUGGGUAACCUGCCUUAUACAGGGGGUUACAAACAAGAAAUGGUUGCUAAUACCGAAUAAGGGCCAAGGCCGGAAUGGUCGGGUGGGAAAAACUCCGGUGGUAUAAGAUGGACCCGCGUUGGAUUAGCUAGUUGGCAGGGUAACGGCCUACCAAGGCGACGAUCCAUAGCCGGCCUGAGAGGGUGAACGGCCACAUUGGGACUGAGACACGGCCCAGACUCCUACGGGAGGCAGCAGUGGGGAAUAUUGCACAAUGGGGGAAACCCUGAUGCAGCGACGCCGCGUGAAGGAAGAAGUAUCUCGGUAUGUAAACUUCUAUCAGCAGGGAAGAUAGUGACGGUACCUGACUAAGAAGCCCCGGCUAACUACGUG